AUGCUUGAGGCUGAAGAAGCCGAAGCUGCGAAAUCCAACAACCAUGGUACGGCAGACGCAUUUAGCAACCAUGGUAGCGGGAACCAAGAUUUCUCCCGUGCCAGAAUCAACAGCGGUGCCAAUUCCGGGGACCGAAUGAAAUACCACACCACCAACAAUCGUGGCGGCCGCACUGUAAAUAACAGUGGUCAUUUCAUUGGUGUGACAAUCUUAGAGCUUGCAGAAACAAUGGGAGCAAGGGUUUAA
Molecule: non-coding RNA, 246 nt
Organism: Vicia faba (fava bean)
Lineage: Eukaryota; Viridiplantae; Streptophyta; Magnoliopsida; Fabales; Fabaceae
Source: the annotation of a GenBank genome assembly